Molecule: ribosomal RNA, 216 nt
Filed under: Glomeromycotina sp.
Lineage: Eukaryota; Fungi; Glomeromycota
Description: partial small subunit ribosomal RNA
Rfam family: Eukaryotic small subunit ribosomal RNA (bases 40-216)
Source: RNAcentral
GGGUCAGUAGGUUGGUCGUGCCACCGGUACGUACUGGUCUCACUGAUUCCUCCUUCCUGAAGAACCGUAAUGCCAUUAAUUUGGUGUUGCGGGGAAACAGGACUGUUACUUUGAAAAAAUUAGAGUGUUUAAAGCAAGCUAACGCUUGAAUACACUAGCAUGGAAUAAUGAAAUAGGACGAUCGAUCCUAUUUUGUUGGUUUCUAGGAUUGACGUA